This is a non-coding RNA of Trichobilharzia regenti, 78 nucleotides long. Lineage: Eukaryota; Metazoa; Platyhelminthes; Trematoda; Strigeidida; Schistosomatidae. The record is from Rfam.
AGCCUUCUGUAUCCGUGCUGAGAUUUCGUCAGAGAUCAAACCGUUGGGGCUGAUGCAACUUCCCAAAUAAGUGAAGCG